This is a long non-coding RNA of Chinchilla lanigera (long-tailed chinchilla), 2468 nucleotides long. Lineage: Eukaryota; Metazoa; Chordata; Mammalia; Rodentia; Chinchillidae. The record is from Ensembl.
AAGGCCUGUAAUCCCAGCACUUGGGAGGCUGAGGCAGGAGGAUUGCUGUGAGUUCAAGGCCAGCCUAGGCUACAAAGUGAGUUUGAGGCCAGCCUGAACUGCAUAAUCUCAAAACACCACCACCAACAAAAAAGAAGUAGAGUCAUAGCAAAAAUAGAAGUGAAGGGAAUUCACUGUGCUAUUUCAAAAAUAUCCUGGAAAAUGAAAUUAAGUAAUCAUAUAAAUUAUUAAAGGUGUUUUGGCUUCACUGGGGGGAGGUGUACUGAAGCUGGGGUGAUAUUGACCCAUCCCUCACUUUUUCCACAUUCAGCCUGAUGAAGAGCACAUGUGAGAGAAACACAUAGCCCUGCAGAGCAAACCCACAUCCACACACGUUCCGGACACCGCCCACAGCACCGUAAUUCCAUCCAAUACAUGGUGCUCACACUGGAACGGAAGAAAAGCAGAAGAAAACUUUUGCAGGUUCCUGACCUGAAGCCUGCCUUCUGCAGCUCUGCUGCUCUGUUUGCUGGCCCGAGAUGCUCCAAGCUGUUUCUGCACCUCCCCCCAUGCACCAGAUCACACAGGAUCACAGAGGCUUCUGCCCAUGGGACAGAAGACCAAGCAAUGGACUGAAGCUGUGAGACCUGCAGCCGCCUGGCUGUGCCACUCUUCAGAGCAGCGACCUUCAGGAAGCAGCCUUGAUCUCUAGAUCUUUCUGCCGUCAUAAAAUUGUUAGACUGAAUGUUUCCAAAGGCUUUUUUUCCACCCAAUUUAAAAGUUCUAUGAUUCAACCAUUCAAGUUCUAUGAUUUCUCUCUCUGCCAUUUGUUUGUUUGUUUGUCUUUUUGAGACAAGGUCUCGCUAUGCAGUUCAGGCUGGCCUUGAGCUCACUUUGUAGCCCAGGCUGGUCUUGAACUCCCAACGACUCUCCUGCCUCAGCUUCCUGAGUGCUGGGAUUACAGGUGUGCGCCAUCAAGCCUGUCUUGAACUCACUUUGUAGCUCAGGCUGGACUUGAACUUGCAGCAGCCCUCCUGCCUCAGCCUCCCAAAUGCUGGGAUUGCAGCUGUGGGCCACCAUGCCUGGUGAACCCUGCUUUUUAAGCAAACCUUUGCUUCUCAUAAAUUAUCAAGCCCAAGUGAAUCUAAAUCUUAUGAAAUAUCGUUUUCUCUUUUUACCACCUUGUAAGCAUAUUUUCUCUUCCUUGGUCCACCACACAUAGAACCAACAAAGUAAACAUCUCUACCAGUAAAGAAAACAGUCUUUAUUUAGUAUUUUCUGGGUCUGAGUAUUUAUGACUUUAGGGCAACUUGAUCUGAGGUCCAACUUCAAAUGGUUGAAGGAUUUUAAAGGUUCCAGAGCUACCAAUCUUUAACUAGACAUAAAAAGCUUCAGGUUCAUUUGGGGCCACCAGAGCAGGACCCUCAAGGAGAGGAAGAGCAGAGGGUUAGUUGCACUAUUUUCAAAAACCAAACUAGACUGAAAUUUCACCACUCAAGAAAGGCUGGCUGGGGACUUCCUAACGCCUUGCCAAGUGGUGACAAGAUUGCUUCUUGCCUGCUACUGAUGACUGCUUUGUCCCUCUCCGGGUAUCAAGGAUCGCAAUGCCCACCCUUCUUUCCCAUCACAAGCCCAUUUGAGAAUCCCAUUCAGAAAAGACCUGGGCUCAUCCAGAUGGAUUUUAAUCUCUAGAAAUGUGUGUAUUUGCAUCAAGGACAUAGGUUCCUUGGGCACCAAUCUUAGACAACUCUUCUACUAGCUGAAUGACUCUGGGUUAGUCUUCACAUUUCUGUGCCUCAGCUUACUACCUGUGAGCAAUAAAGAUAGGGUUAUUACGAGAAUUAAAUAAAAUGAUCUGCAUGAACCCCUUUAGCACAAUGGUUGGCACUGAUGGCUUUUGUUUGUAUGUUUGUUUUUGUCUUUUUGAGACAGGGUCUCACUAUGCAGCUCAGGCUGUCCUUGAGCUCACUUUGUAGCCCAGGCUGGUCUCAAACUCGCAGUGAUCCUCCUGCCUCAGCCUCCUGAGGGCUGGGAUUACAGGCGUACACCACCACGCCCAGCUACUGAUGGUUGAUGUUACAAUUAAAAAUGAACACCAAGUGCUUUCUGUCACCUGACUUGGUGCACUGGAGAUGGGAUUGGAUAAUGGGAGGACAAAGAGGGAUGUGAUGGCUGGGGUUCUAAUCCCUGUUCUCAUCUCCUUGCUUUAAGGUAAGUCCCAGCCCCUCCCCAACCCCAAUGCUAUAAAAAUAAGAAGUGGCCAGGUGUGGUAGUGAACGCCUAUGAUCCCAGCAUUUGGGGGGCUGAGGCAGGAGGACUGCUGAAAAUUCAAGGCCAGCCUGAGCUACAUAGGAAGACCCUAUCUCUAAAAAACAAAAAUAAAUAAAGGAAGAAAGAAGGCUGAGGAGGUGGCACAGGCCUGUAAUCCCAGCACUUGGGAGGCUGAAGCAGGAGGAUUGUUAUGAGUUCAAGGCCAGCGUGGGCUACAA